Molecule: ribosomal RNA, 497 nt
Filed under: uncultured bacterium
Lineage: Bacteria
Description: partial 16S ribosomal RNA
Rfam family: Bacterial small subunit ribosomal RNA
Source: RNAcentral
GACGAACGCUGGCGGCGUGCCUAAUACAUGCAAGUAGAACGCUGAAGAGAGGAGCUUGCUCUUCUUGGAUGAGUUGCGAACGGGUGAGUAACGCGUAGGUAACCCGCCUUGUAGCGGGGGAUAACUAUUGGAAACGAUAGCUAAUACCGCAUAACAAUGGAUGACACAUGUCAUUUAUUUGAAAGGGGCAAUUGCUCCACUACAAGAUGGACCUGCGUUGUAUUAGCUAGUAGGUGAGGUAAUGGCUCACCUAGGCGACGAUACAUAGCCGACCUGAGAGGGUGAUCGGCCACACUGGGACUGAGACACGGCCCAGACUCCUACGGGAGGCAGCAGUAGGGAAUCUUCGGCAAUGGGGGCAACCCUGACCGAGCAACGCCGCGUGAGGGAAGAAGGUUGUCGGAUCGUAAAGCUCUGUUGUAAGUCAAGAACGGGUGUGAGAGUGGAAAGUUCACACUGUGACGGUAGCUUACCAGAAAGGGACGGCUAACUACGUG